GGUGACUCAGGGGUAGAGUGCUUGCCUUGCAUGCAUGAGGCCCUGGGUUCGAUUCCUCAGCACCA
This is a non-coding RNA of Dipodomys ordii (Ord's kangaroo rat), 65 nucleotides long. NCBI's taxonomy places the organism in Eukaryota, Metazoa, Chordata, Mammalia, Rodentia, Heteromyidae. The record is from Rfam.